CAGUCGUACCUUCGGGUAAUCAGCCUUUCGGGUGCGAUUCUGUGGAGUGUGAGGAGCUUAACACCUUCAUGCUUUGCAUAUUUGUGCUCUUGGGUGUACUUGCCCGUGUGGUUGGUUAACAUCAAUUUUGAUUAUCAUAAAAUGACUGGAGGAAUGUAGCUUCGAUCUCGUAUUGAAGUGUUAUAGCCUUCGGUAGAUGUGAUGAUCGAGAUUGAGGAUUGCAACGGAUACCCUUCGGGGCUACCUGUCUGGUCUCUGAUCGUUGCUCUGGUGCCGAAAGCGUGCUUACGGUUAUCAAAGUCGAUGGUCAAUAGGUUAGAACGGGUUAAA
Molecule: ribosomal RNA, 330 nt
Filed under: uncultured Glomeromycotina
Lineage: Eukaryota; Fungi; Glomeromycota
Description: LSU rRNA
Source: RNAcentral